GAUGAACGCUGGCGGCGUGCUUAACACAUGCAAGUCGAACGGUGAACACGGAGCUUGCUCUGUGGGAUCAGUGGCGAACGGGUGAGUAACACGUGAGCAACCUGCCCCUGACUCUGGGAUAAGCGCUGGAAACGGCGUCUAAUACUGGAUAUGUGACGUGACCGCAUGGUCUGCGUUUGGAAAGAUUUUUCGGUUGGGGAUGGGCUCGCGGCCUAUCAGCUUGUUGGUGAGGUAAUGGCUCACCAAGGCGGCGACGGGUAGCCGGCCUGAGAGGGUGACCGGCCACACUGGGACUGAGACACGGCACAGACUCCUACGGGACGCAGCAGUGGGGAAUAUUGCACAAUGGGCGCAAGCCUGAUGCAGCAACGCCGCGUGAGGGAUGACGGCCUUCGGGUUGUAAACCUCUUUUAGCAGGGAAGAAGCGAAAGUGACGGUACCUGCAGAAAAAGCGCCGGCUAACUACGUG
This 469-nucleotide ribosomal RNA is filed under the name uncultured bacterium. RNAcentral describes it as "partial 16S ribosomal RNA". It matches the Rfam family "Bacterial small subunit ribosomal RNA", at positions 28 to 507 of the family's 1533-position model. The record is from RNAcentral.